GUGCCAGCAGCUGCGGUAAUACGAAGGGUGCAAGCGUUACUCGGAAUUACUGGGCGUAAAGCGUGCGUAGGUGGUUGUUUAAGUCUGUUGUGAAAGCCCUGGGCUCAACCUGGGAAUUGCAGUGGAUACUGGGCAACUAGAAUGUGGUAGAGGGUAGCGGAAUUCCUGGUGUAGCAGUGAAAUGCGUAGAGAUCAGGAGGAACAUCCGUGGCCGAAGGCGGCUACCGUGGACCAACAUUGACACUGAGGCACGAAAGCGUGGGAGCAAAC
Molecule: ribosomal RNA, 270 nt
Filed under: uncultured Pseudomonas sp.
Lineage: Bacteria; Pseudomonadati; Pseudomonadota; Gammaproteobacteria; Pseudomonadales; Pseudomonadaceae
Description: partial 16S ribosomal RNA
Rfam family: Bacterial small subunit ribosomal RNA
Source: RNAcentral